RNAcentral lists this ribosomal RNA (254 nucleotides) under uncultured bacterium. Its description in RNAcentral is "partial 16S ribosomal RNA". It matches the Rfam family "Bacterial small subunit ribosomal RNA", at positions 524 to 776 of the family's 1533-position model. The record is from RNAcentral.
UACGUAGGGGGCGAGCGUUGUCCGGAAUUAUUGGGCGUAAAGAGCUCGUAGGCGGUUCGGCAAGUCACGUGUGAAAUCUCCACGCUCAACGUGGAGGCGCCACGUGAGACUGCUGUGACUCGAGUCCGGUAGGGGAGCGUGGAAUUCCCGGUGUAGCGGUGAAAUGCGUAGAUAUCAGGAGGAACACCGAUGGCGAAGGCAGGUCUCUGGGCUAACACUGACGCUCAUGCACGAAAGCGUGGGGAGCAAACAGG